AUGCUUGUUUCAAAGGCUAAGCCAUGCAAAUCCAAGAGCAAAUGGUUUCAAAAGUAGGUCCGUGAACGGCUCAUUAAAUCAGCAAUCAUCUCCCCAGUUCUGGAGGGGCUAACACUCCUCCCAUACGGAUAACCUCUGUAACCCUGAGGCUAAUACGUGUACGAAAAUGGUCUCUUCGUCAAACAUUCUGUCGGGAGUGGGGGUUGGGCAACUGAUUCCCGCCCGAUGGAAUGGAAGGGGCCCGCAGUUGGCCGAUAACAAAACCAACGCCCGCGGUUGACAACUCGUGCCUCGUGUGCGAGCCGACUGCUUCAAAGGGCAGCGUUUCUCCUUCGCACUUCGCGUGCAACUAAGGUGAUACAGGCCAAUCAUGUGAAAGCGCAUCGAUCCUCGCGAUCGGCGCGGAACUGGACGAAUUUCUGCCUUAUCAGCUUUCGAUGACCGUGUAGCGAACGGCCAUGGCGAUAACGAGUCACGGGGAAUUAGGGUUCGACUCCGGAGAGGGCGCCUGAGAAACGGCGACCAGAUCUAAGGAUUGCAGCAGGCACGCAAAUUGCCCAAUAACAGCACGUUGUUGAGGCAGUGACGAGAAAUAACAACACCGGACGAAACAUAUCGGCCGGUGAUUGUAAUGAACGGUAUCCAAAGCAACCGAUGAGUACCCAUUGGAGGGCAAGUCUGGUGCCAGCAGCCGCGGUAAUUCCAGCUCCAAUAGCAUUCACUAAUGUUGUUGCGGUUAAAAAGCUCGUAGUUGGAUCCGGAGCUCGGGAUUGCAGGUUUCGGUAGGGUUCUAAGGCUUGGGCCUCGCGCUCAGGCUGGGAACACAACCGCCUGCACGAGAUCCUGGCUCUACAUACACGGGACCCGGUUCUCCUGUCUGAUCUCUCCUUCAUUGGAGGGUGAAGGCGCUUUCUGGAGCGUCCGUGGUUGUUACUGUGAACAAAACAGCAUGUCCAAAGUAAGCGCGGCACACGCCAGUCCGCUUGAAUGUUUGAGCAUGGAAUGACAAGGGAGCGACCUCGAAGUUAGGAUCUCCUUGUUUGUUGGUUUUGAAGACUUCAUUGGGAAACACAAGGCAGAUUGCGCCGUGCAGUUGGGUUCGCCCCUUCAGUGUGGCCUCUGCUUACAAACGGGAUCAAUCGGAGCAAACGGUGGGGUACGUACUGCGGCGCUAGUGGUGAAAUACUUAGAUCGCCUCAUGACGAACAUCUGCGAAAGCAUUCCUCAAGCAUGCCUUCUUCAAUCAAGAGCGAGAGUAUGGGGAUCAAAGAUGAUUAGAUACCGUUGUAGUCCAUACCGUAAACGCUGCCGGUAAGGUGUCGGAGGCUUGCUCUGGUAUCCCGACUCCUUCGGAGCCAAUCCCCAUAACGAGAAAUCCAAACCUGGGUUCCGGGGGGAGUACGCUCGCAAGAUCGAAACUUAAAGGAAUUGACGGAAUGGCACCACAAGGCGUGGAGUGUGCGGCUUAAUUUGACCCAACACGGGAAACCUUGCCAGGUCCGGACUUGCUGAGGAUUGACAGAUUGAGAGCUCUUUCUUGAUCGCAAGGGUGGUGGUGCAUGGCCGUGCUGGGUUGGUGGAGUGAUUUGUCUGCUUAAUUGCGAUAACGAACGAGAUCACAGCCUCUUACUCGGCCUUCCACUCGCAUAUCGAGUAGGGGUGCCUUGAGGUCCCGUUCCCACACAAAGAUCCGCUGUGUAUGCGAUUUCCUUCUCACACGAGGGGAAAAGCGUCGCGGCGAUCGAUGCGCGGGGGCGGGGCCUUGAGCAACAACGGCCCCGAGAGUGGAGGAGCUUCCCUUAGAGGGACUGGCAAUGCUAUUUCAAUUCCCGGAAGAAUGUGCCUUUCACAGGUCUGUGAUGCUCCGCGAUGUUCUGGACCGCACGCGCACUACAAUGGCAUGGUCAACGAGCGACAAAUCGUGCUUUAACGGUUCCUCCUUGGAAGCGAGAUCGGUAAUCUUUGCAAACCAUGUCGUGACGGGGAUAGGUGAUUGCAAUUAUUUUCCCCGAACGAGGAAUGCCCAGUAGGGACGGCUCAUCAGGCCGCCCCGACUGCGUCCCUGGCAUUUGUACACACCGCCCGUCGUUGUGCUCGAUUGGUUGUUGCAUAGAGUUCUUCCGAGGCUACGGGGUGAAGUUCGCUUCGCUCUGUCCUUCACGGGGUUGGCCAAAGUUGUGCAAUAUGCAACAGCUAGAGAGCAUAAAAGUCGUAACAAGGUUGCCGACGGG
This 2231-nucleotide ribosomal RNA is filed under the name Ploeotia vitrea. RNAcentral describes it as "partial small subunit ribosomal RNA". It matches the Rfam family "Eukaryotic small subunit ribosomal RNA". Lineage: Eukaryota; Euglenozoa; Ploeotarea; Ploeotiida; Ploeotiidae. The record is from RNAcentral.